UGUUAAUAAAUCAAAAAAAAAAAAAGAAAAAAAUAUGUACAUAGGAAAGUGCCUUAAGUAAGUAAGAUUCGAAAUGAAUUGUGUUAAACCGAUGAAACUAUUUUUUCUACUUUAUACUUUUUAACGACUAUUUAAGAAACAUUUUUACUAUUUAUAUCGUACAAUGUCGUCCAUUAUAAUGUUAAGAAUCACGUAAGGCAAUACGCUU
Apis florea (little honeybee) is the source of this 208-nucleotide long non-coding RNA. The record is from RefSeq and is a predicted model, not a curated record. Lineage: Eukaryota; Metazoa; Arthropoda; Insecta; Hymenoptera; Apidae.